Molecule: ribosomal RNA, 433 nt
Filed under: uncultured bacterium
Lineage: Bacteria
Description: partial 16S ribosomal RNA
Rfam family: Bacterial small subunit ribosomal RNA
Source: RNAcentral
AGCGAACGCUGGCGGCAGGCCUAACACAUGCAAGUCGAACGGACCUUUCGGGGUUAGUGGCGGACGGGUGAGUAACACGUGGGAACGUGCCUUUAGGUUCGGAAUAGCUCCUGGAAACGGGUGGUAAUGCCGAAUGUGCCCUUCGGGGGAAAGAUUUAUCGCCUUUAGAGCGGCCCGCGUCUGAUUAGCUAGUUGGUUGAGGUAACGGCUCACCAAGGCGACGAUCAGUAGCUGGUCUGAGAGGAUGGCCAGCCACAUUGGGACUGAGACACGGCCCAAACUCCUACGGGAGGCAGCAGUGGGGAAUCUUGCGCAAUGGGCGAAAGCCUGACGCAGCCAUGCCGCGUGAAUGAUGAAGGUCUUAGGAUUGUAAAAUUCUUUCACCGGGGACGAUAAUGACGGUACCCGGAGAAGAAGCCCCGGCUAACUUCGU